This 24-nucleotide microRNA is filed under the name Ananas comosus (pineapple). RNAcentral's name for it is "microRNA s1326_c042b". The record is from RNAcentral. Lineage: Eukaryota; Viridiplantae; Streptophyta; Magnoliopsida; Poales; Bromeliaceae.
AAUGAUAGUGGUCUCCUAGGAUUG